Molecule: transfer RNA, 76 nt
Filed under: Potamogeton wrightii
Lineage: Eukaryota; Viridiplantae; Streptophyta; Magnoliopsida; Alismatales; Potamogetonaceae
Description: tRNA-His
Rfam family: tRNA (bases 33-76)
About the family: Transfer RNA (tRNA) molecules are approximately 80 nucleotides in length. Their secondary structure includes four short double-helical elements and three loops (D, anti-codon, and T loops).
Source: RNAcentral
CAUGCGCGGGUUCAAUUCCCGUCGUUCGCCGGGCGGAUGUAGCCAAGUGGAUCAAGGCGGUGGAUUGUGAAUCCAC